UGCAGUCGAGCGGACAGAAGGGAGCUUGCUCCCGGAUGUUAGCGGCGGACGGGUGAGUAACACGUGGGUAACCUGCCUGUAAGACUGGGAUAACUCCGGGAAACCGGAGCUAAUACCGGAUAGUUCCUUGAACCGCAUGGUUCAAGGAUGAAAGACGGUUUCGGCUGUCACUUACAGAUGGACCCGCGGCGCAUUAGCUAGUUGGUGGGGUAAUGGCUCACCAAGGCGACGAUGCGUAGCCGACCUGAGAGGGUGAUCGGCCACACUGGGACUGAGACACGGCCCAGACUCCUACGGGAGGCAGCAGUAGGGAAUCUUCCGCAAUGGACGAAAGUCUGACGGAGCAACGCCGCGUGAGUGAUGAAGGUUUUCGGAUCGUAAAGCUCUGUUGUUAGGGAAGAACAAGUGCGAGAGUAACUGCUCGCACCUUGACGGUACCUAACCAGAAAGCCACGGCUAACUACGUGCCAGCAGCCGCGGUAAUACGUAGGUGGCAAGCGUUGUCCGGAAUUAUUGGGCGUAAAGGGCUCGCAGGCGGUUUCUUAAGUCUGAUGUGAAAGCCCCCGGCUCAACCGGGGAGGGUCAUUGGAAACUGGGAAACUUGAGUGCAGAAGAGGAGAGUGGAAUUCCACGUGUAGCGGUGAAAUGCGUAGAGAUGUGGAGGAACACCAGUGGCGAAAGCGACUCUCUGGUCUGUAACUGACGCUGAGGAGCGAAAGCGUGGGGAGCGAACAGGAUUAGA
This 742-nucleotide ribosomal RNA is filed under the name Bacillus pumilus. RNAcentral's name for it is "bacterial SSU rRNA". It matches the Rfam family "Bacterial small subunit ribosomal RNA", at positions 56 to 782 of the family's 1533-position model. Lineage: Bacteria; Bacillati; Bacillota; Bacilli; Caryophanales; Bacillaceae. The record is from RNAcentral.